This 37-nucleotide ribosomal RNA is filed under the name Kineococcus rhizosphaerae. Its description in RNAcentral is "partial 16S ribosomal RNA". Lineage: Bacteria; Bacillati; Actinomycetota; Actinomycetes; Kineosporiales; Kineosporiaceae. The record is from RNAcentral.
UUUCGACGGAGAGUUUGAUCCUGGCUCAGGACGAACG